This is a non-coding RNA of Mycena latifolia, 94 nucleotides long. The record is from the annotation of a GenBank genome assembly. NCBI's taxonomy places the organism in Eukaryota, Fungi, Basidiomycota, Agaricomycetes, Agaricales, Mycenaceae.
GUGUCCUUGGUGUAACGGUUACACACAAUCUUCUAUUAAUUUAGGACAUAGCAAAUUUGAGAUUGAGUCUGGGGUUUGACCCCCCGAGGACGGA